This is a long non-coding RNA of Canis lupus familiaris (dog), 861 nucleotides long. RefSeq lists it as uncharacterized. The record is from RefSeq and is a predicted model, not a curated record. NCBI's taxonomy places the organism in Eukaryota, Metazoa, Chordata, Mammalia, Carnivora, Canidae. The transcript has 3 exons.
GGAGUUCUCCCACUCUCUGGCACCUGUUCACAGCUCUUCUGGCCAUCCUCUGUCUCUCACGGUGCUCAAGGAAUGUUUGACGAAUCAACAGACAUUAUAGAGGUUUGGACUCUGGAAUCCGAUAGACAUGGGCAUGAAUCCCAGCUCUACCUUGUCCUUUCAGUAUGUCCUGGGUCCUGGAACACGGUUGCUGAAUGAUGAGACCCAUUGCACACAAUGCUUGACUCUCGGUUUACUAAAGAAGAACUUACGAAUCUCCUGACUGAGGUCUAAGGCAGAGACCCUCAGGCUGUCUGUGAGAAGAGGAGGAAGGAGAUGAGCUUACCAGGGAAUAAUUGAGUGUGCAACUGGGACAGUCACUCUGUCUGAAUUGGUCUUCAUGAUAGAGGACACUGUCGCUUUCCACCUAUAGCAUUGUACCUCUCUCCGCCUGCCUCUAGUCUCCACCUCCUUGAUGGAGCUUGGAGCAAUCUUCCCCAAUAUCACCAUGUCUUUAGUUCAUUCAUUAAUCAAGUCAACAAAUGUUAACCAAACAUCAACUAAGCAUAAGCACUGGAGAUAGAGCAAAGAAUAAAACAGACAAAAAUGCCGUGCUCUCAGGGCGUGGACAUUUUAGCCGGGCUACCUCAUGUGCGUGGCUGUGGGUGUUUCUCUGGGGUCCAUCACUAGAGGUAGAACUGCUGGCUUGGACUUGGCAUUGCCGAAUUGCUCUGCAAAGCAGUUGAACUAAUGUAUACUCCCACCAACAGUGGAUAAAAAAAAAAAAAGAUUUCUGGGGCACCUGGGUGGCUCAGUCUGGUAAGCAGUUAAGCGCCUGCCUUCAGCUCAGGUCAUGAUCCCAGGACCCUGGGAUUGCCCCAC